This is a non-coding RNA of Fukomys damarensis (Damara mole-rat), 66 nucleotides long. The record is from Ensembl. Lineage: Eukaryota; Metazoa; Chordata; Mammalia; Rodentia; Bathyergidae.
CAAGGAAUAGUUUAGUCAGAAUUUCAGCUUUGGGAGUUGACGGCGGGGGUCUUCUCUCUUUCUUGA